GAUGAACGCUGGCGGCGUGCCUAAUACAUGCAAGUCGAGCGAACAGACGAGGAGCUUGCUCCUCUGACGUUAGCGGCGGACGGGUGAGUAACACGUGGAUAACCUACCUAUAAGACUGGGAUAACUUCGGGAAACCGGAGCUAAUACCGGAUAAUAUAUUGAACCGCAUGGUUCAAUAGUGAAAGACGGGUUUGCUGUCACUUAUAGAUGGAUCCGCGCCGCAUUAGCUAGUUGGUAAGGUAACGGCUUACCAAGGCAACGAUGCGUAGCCGACCUGAGAGGGUGAUCGGCCACACUGGAACUGAGACACGGUCCAGACUCCUACGGGAGGCAGCAGUAGGGAAUCUUCCGCAAUGGGCGAAAGCCUGACGGAGCAACGCCGCGUGAGUGAUGAAGGUCUUCGGAUCGUAAAACUCUGUUAUUAGGGAAGAACAAAUGUGUAAGUAACUAUGCACGUCUUGACGGUACCUAAUCAGAGAGCCACGGCUAACUACGUG
This 497-nucleotide ribosomal RNA is filed under the name uncultured bacterium. RNAcentral's name for it is "partial 16S ribosomal RNA". It matches the Rfam family "Bacterial small subunit ribosomal RNA", at positions 28 to 507 of the family's 1533-position model. The record is from RNAcentral.